CAAUAGCGUAUAUUAAAGUUGUUGCAGUUAAAAAGCUCGUAGUUGGAUUUGUGGCGUACGGUGUGUUCCGGGCACUUGUUGUCUGAGUAACCUGCUGUUGCCAUCCUUGGGUGGAACCUGUGUGGCAUUAGGUUGUCGUGCAGGUGAUGCCCAUCGUUUACUGUGAAAAAAUUAGAGUGUUCAAAGCAGGCUUAUGCCGUUGAAUAUAUUAGCAUGGAAUAAUGAGAUAGGACUUUUUUGCUAUUUUGUUGGUUUGCGCAAAGAGGUAAUGAUUAAUAGGGACAGUUGGGGGUAUUCGUAUUCCAUUGUCAGAGGUGAAAUUCUUGGAUUUUUGGAAGACGAACUACUGCGAAAGCAUUUACCAAGGAUGUUUUCAUUAA
Molecule: ribosomal RNA, 380 nt
Filed under: uncultured eukaryote
Lineage: Eukaryota
Description: partial 18S ribosomal RNA
Rfam family: Eukaryotic small subunit ribosomal RNA
Source: RNAcentral